GAUGAACGCUGGCGGCGUGCUUAACACAUGCAAGUCGAACGGUGAAGGCGGAGCUUGCUCUGCUGGAUCAGUGGCGAACGGGUGAGUAACACGUGAGCAAUCUGCCCCUGACUCUGGGAUAAGCGCUGGAAACGGCGUCUAAUACUGGAUACGAGCUGCGAAGGCAUCUUCAGCAGCUGGAAAGAAUUUCGGUCAGGGAUGAGCUCGCGGCCUAUCAGCUUGUUGGUGAGGUAAUGGCUCACCAAGGCGUCGACGGGUAGCCGGCCUGAGAGGGUGACCGGCCACACUGGGACUGAGACACGGCCCAGACUCCUACGGGAGGCAGCAGUGGGGAAUAUUGCACAAUGGGCGAAAGCCUGAUGCAGCAACGCCGCGUGAGGGACGACGGCCUUCGGGUUGUAAACCUCUUGUAGCAGGGAAGAAGCGAAAGGGACGGUACCUGCAGAAAAAGCGCCGGCUAACUACGUG
RNAcentral lists this ribosomal RNA (468 nucleotides) under uncultured bacterium. Its description in RNAcentral is "partial 16S ribosomal RNA". It matches the Rfam family "Bacterial small subunit ribosomal RNA", at positions 28 to 507 of the family's 1533-position model. The record is from RNAcentral.